Schistocerca gregaria is the source of this 436-nucleotide long non-coding RNA. RefSeq lists it as uncharacterized. NCBI's taxonomy places the organism in Eukaryota, Metazoa, Arthropoda, Insecta, Orthoptera, Acrididae. The record is from RefSeq and is a predicted model, not a curated record. The transcript is spliced from 3 exons.
UUCUGUGACUCCUGCGAUUUCUGCAACUUACCACCGUAUGAAAAAGUUACAUCUGCCCACACAGAAAAUUGCAUCUCAACAAACCUGUCAUUGGUACCCGAACUACAUUUCAGUCACUCAGUAAAUUGAUAACUCAAAAUAUUAUUGUCACCAGAUCUGGAGAAAUUGCUACUGCGUCUUUAGACCGUUUUCGUCAUACGAGAGACACAGUUCUGACUCUUGAUUACUGGUUGCUGUACGUAUUUAUCCACAUCAAGGCUGUUGAGAGAGACUCGUGAAGAUUCAAGACAGCUCUUAGAGGAUUUGCAGUUUGAAAGUGACAUAAUUGUGAAAUAAGUGUGCAGAUGAGUGAUUAAACUGUGUUUUAUUGAAGUUGUUAUGCAAUUUUAAAGGAAUAAUAAAUGUUAAAUACAGUGAGUGAAUAAUGAAAAUCUCA